Molecule: long non-coding RNA, 1498 nt
Organism: Vigna radiata var. radiata (mung bean)
Lineage: Eukaryota; Viridiplantae; Streptophyta; Magnoliopsida; Fabales; Fabaceae
Exons: 2
Source: RefSeq, a predicted model, not a curated record
UUUGAGGGAAUGCAUUAUCAGAUGAUUAUGACAGAGUUUCAUUUCACAUUUCUUGAGGGUAGAACGGAAUCGGCAGAAAUCUGGUUCCAGAUCUGACAAGGGAAAAAAGGGCACAAAAAUUAAGAUAUCAAGGACACUACAGUAUUCUCCUUUUUUUUCGUGCAGUACAUGCAUCUUUUUACAUAUCAUAAGAUGCCUGAUACAAAGUGAACACACCCUUAUUAAUGAAAAGCUGAAGCUGUCAGUUACCAAUUCUAUGCACGCUGCAAUCUUCUUUUUAAUGAAGUAGAAAAACCUUCAUAGAAAACAUUACCUUCCCAUAUGAUCCCCAAACUUUCUGAUAAUCAUUGCAAUCAAUUGCUAUACACCUGCAUAACAAUUUCCUUGUUGACUAUUUUGUCCAUAUUCAUUAAUUAUCCUUGGAAAUGAAGCACUAGGUGUUUGGAUACCAUGGAGCUGUGCACAGAUCCUACUCCUUUAGAAUCACAAAGGUAAGCAAUAUUGAAGAAGACUAAUUCAACAUCAUGCUUAUACUGGCUUGAAUUUUCUUGUUUGGUGACUAUAAAUAAACCCUUUACUUUGUAGAUAUGCUUAUAAUCCAUACUCAUAUUACCUGAUGUAAAAUGACCAGAAAGACUCGUCAGAAGGAAGCAUCAUAGCCAAAUAAAGCUUGAUGGGUUGCUUCCCAAUAUAGAAUAACACACAAAAUAGUACUCCUUUUGAGGCGUCAGAUAACGAGAGAGGACAGGGAAAUAUCAUCAAGAAAUAAGUCUGCCCAUUUCCGAACUUCAUUGUGCACACUGUCUGUUUGAAAAUUCGUUGAAAAGUAGUGAGAAAUUACGUUUAGACGAAGUGUUGAAACUAAGUUAGAAGUUACAUCUUAAGUGAGAAACCAAGUUAACAUACUUGUAACUGCAUCUAUUAUUAGCACACUCAAAAUGAGAGUAGAGGAGAGAGAGACGAAGUUUGAUGCUAAAAGCACUCUCAAUAAUUAAACAACAUCAUAUAGUCUAUAAACCUGGUUCAAACCUUUUGAGAGAUUUAUAGCCGGUGGCUGCAUUCAAAAUAGGAAUAUUCAAGUGACACCUUAAAAAUCUGUACACCAUAGCAGAUUGCCAGCAGAACCCUUUGGUUCUGGAUAUGAUGAGUGUUGCAGUCAUGGGACCAACCACAUGGACCAGGGGUCUCUUGGCCUUCAAUUUUAUGCCUACUGGCAAGGAAAUCACUAACUCCAGAUUUUGAUUCAACCUAAAAUGCCAUGUUGAAAGGGACCAGUGCAGGUUGCUCACAAAUCACUCACAGACACUACUUCAAUAUUUUGUCUCCAACCAUGUACAAAAAGUCUUGAAAGUAAUAUUAAUGCAUGCAUCUCAAAAGGCACCACUCUUUGAUGUAUCAUUUGUAGCACUGGUCCCAAUAGGAAAAGAUUCCUUCCCUUCUUAUCGAUUACAGUCUUACUAUCGUUAAUGAAUGCAAGUCCAAGGUCUAUUUUCUUUCA